CGACCUGCACAGGUGCUGCAUGGCUGUCGUCAGCUCGUGUCGUGAGAUGUGGGUUAAGUCCCGCAACGAGCGCAACCCUUAUCCCCAGUUGCCAUCAGGUAAAGCUGGGAACUCUGGGGAGACUGCCGGUGAUAAACCGGGAGGAAGGCGGGGAUGACGUCAAGUCCUCAUGGCCCUUACAUCCCGGGCUACACACGUGCUACAAUGGCAGGUACAGAGGGCUGCAAGCCGCGAGGUGAGCGAAUCCCAGAAACCUGUCUCAGUCCGGAUUGAAGUCUGCAACUCGACUUCAUGAAGGCGGAAUCGCUAGUAACCGCGAAUCAGCAGGUCGCGGUGAAUACGUUCCCGGGCCUU
Molecule: ribosomal RNA, 354 nt
Filed under: uncultured Latescibacterota bacterium
Lineage: Bacteria; Pseudomonadati; Candidatus Latescibacterota
Description: bacterial SSU rRNA
Rfam family: Bacterial small subunit ribosomal RNA
Source: RNAcentral